This is an RNA transcript of Solanum dulcamara, 1509 nucleotides long. It is a transcript of the gene named pyridoxal reductase, chloroplastic-like, with no coding region annotated. The record is from RefSeq and is a predicted model, not a curated record. NCBI's taxonomy places the organism in Eukaryota, Viridiplantae, Streptophyta, Magnoliopsida, Solanales, Solanaceae. The transcript has 9 exons.
GGGUGCUCUUUUCAGGUGAAAAUCCGUCGGUCUAUCUUCUUUCUUUCUUCUUGGAGUUUUUUCCAGCUGAAAAUAUCCGUUUUAUCCAAAACUUGCCCUUUCCCACUGGAAGCAAUGGCUGUCUGUCUCUCAGCUUCAAAUUCCAUUGCUUACAUAAGAUUCAGCAAUUCAACAACUGAUCCUGUUCCAUCUUCCUCUGUUUUCAAAUCCCUCAAAAUUCCCCGUUUCUGGCCAUGGCAAAAGGUAAAGAUGGGACCUUUGACAGUAUCUCCAAUGGGGUUUGGUACUUGGGCAUGGGGCAAUCAGCUUCUCUGGGGUUAUCAAGAUUCUAUGGACUCUGAACUUCAGAGGACUUUCAAUCUUGCUGUGGAGAAUGGCAUUAACCUAUAUGAUACGGCUGAUUCUUAUGGGACUGGAAGGUUAAAUGGACAAAGUGAGAAACUUCUUGGAAAAUUCAUUCGUGAGUUUCCAGGAGACAAGCAAGUGAAGAAUGACAUUGUGAUUGCAACAAAAUUUGCAGCAUACCCAUGGCGCCUAACACCUGGACAAUUUGUGAAUGCUUGCAAGUCUUCUCUGGAAAGGAUGCAAAUUGGGCAAAUUGGAAUUGGACAAUUGCACUGGUCAACUGCAAAUUAUGCACCUCUGCAGGAACGAGCUCUUUGGGAUGGUUUAGUUGCCAUGUAUGAGAAGGGUUUAGUUCGUGCAGUAGGAGUGAGCAACUACGGACCAAAGCAGCUGCUGAAAAUACACAAAUAUCUUGAUGACCGAGGAGUUCCUUUGCGUUCAGUCCAGAUACAAUUUUCAUUGCUGAGUAUGGGUAGUGAUCAGAUGGAGAUAAAAAAUAUAUGUGAUUCUCUAGGCAUACGGGUCAUAGCAUACAGUCCUCUGGGUCUUGGUAUGCUCACCGGGAAAUAUACGCCCUCUAAUCUUCCACCUGGGCCAAGGGGACUACUCUUUAGACAAAUUCUGCCUGGAUUGGAGCCUCUACUUACCUCACUGGGAGAAAUAGCUCAACGACGUCGGAAAACAAUACCACAGGUAGCUAUCAACUGGUGUAUAUGCAAGGGUACAAUUCCUAUCCCUGGAGUCAAGUCUGUAAAACAAACUGAAGAGAACCUAGGAGCCCUUGGUUGGCAACUCAGUUCUGAUGAAUUGCUCCAAUUAGAAUCCACGGCUCUUGAUUCUCCACAGAAGAUGAUCCAAAACGUAUUUCAGACAAAGUGAUGACUUCUUCACAUAAUGGAUAUGUUUAAGGAAGAUAUACUUGAAGAAGUUAAUAUUCGAGCUGAAGGACACCAAUGUACACAUUUGGAUCAUUUGCUAUUCAGAAUAGCUUUCUCUCAAAUAUAUGCAAGUUCACAGCACGAGGAUGCAAACGCGCAUAGCACCUGCAGCGAAAAUGUGAUUAUAAACUUGAGUUCUGGAUACCUCGCAUAGAAGAUCGUUAGUUUGCCAGAGUUCAAGGGUGAUUCAGUUUUUUCAGGCUACCAAGAGCUCAUCUCUAUCUUG